UCAUGAAUCCCGGAGGAACUGUCGUGAACAUAUCGUCCAUUUGUGGAAUUGAGGUCGUUCACCCAGACACGGCCCUUGUACCAGUCUAUACCGCCAGUAAAGCAGGGGUGGUCGCUUAUACAAGAUGUUUCGCUUUAAACCCCGAGGUGAAACG
This is a long non-coding RNA of Liolophura sinensis, 154 nucleotides long. RefSeq lists it as uncharacterized. The transcript has 3 exons. The record is from RefSeq and is a predicted model, not a curated record. NCBI's taxonomy places the organism in Eukaryota, Metazoa, Mollusca, Polyplacophora, Chitonida, Chitonidae.